RNAcentral lists this ribosomal RNA (433 nucleotides) under uncultured bacterium. RNAcentral describes it as "partial 16S ribosomal RNA". It matches the Rfam family "Bacterial small subunit ribosomal RNA", at positions 29 to 507 of the family's 1533-position model. The record is from RNAcentral.
AACGAACGCUGGCGGCAUGCCUAACACAUGCAAGUCGAACGAGACCUUCGGGUCUAGUUGCGCACGGGUGCGUAACGCGUGGUAACCUGCCCUUAGGUUCGGAAUAACUCCCCGAAAGGGGUGCUAAUACCGGAUAAUGUCAUCGGACCAAAGAUUUAUCGCCUUUGGAUGGGCCCGCGUUGGAUUAGCUAGUUGGUAGGGUAAAAGCCUACCAAGGAGACGAUCCAUAGCUGGUCUGAGAGGAUGAUCAGCCACAAUGGGACUGAGACACGGCCCAGACUCCUACGGGAGGCAGGAGUGGGGAAUAUUAGACACUGGGCGAAAGUCUGAUCCCGCCAUGCCGCGUGAGUGAUGAAGGCGUUAGGGUUGUAAAGCUCUUUUACCCGGGAUGAUAAUGACAGUACCGGGAGAAUAAGCUCCGGCUAACUCCGUG